AGUGAACGCUGGCGGUAGGCCUAACACAUGCAAGUCGAACGGCAGCACAGUAAGAGCUUGCUCUUACGGGUGGCGAGUGGCGGACGGGUGAGGAAUACAUCGUAAUCUACUUUUUCGUGGGGGAUAACGUAGGGAAACUUACGCUAAUACCGCAUACGACCUACGGGUGAAAGCAGGGGAUCUUCGGACCUUGCGCUAUUGAAUGAGCCGAUGUCGGAUUAGCUAGUUGGCGGGGUAAAGGCCCACCAAGGCGACGAUCCGUAGCUGGUCUGAGAGGAUGAUAAGCGACACUGGAACUGAGACACGGUCCAGACUCCUACGGGAGGCAGCAGUGGGGAAUAUUGGACAAUGGGCGCAAGCCUGAUCCAGCCAUACCGCGUGGGUGAAGAAGGCCUUCGGGUUGUAAAGACCUUUUGUUGGGAAAGAAAAGCAGCAGGUUAAUACCACGCUGUUCUGACGGUACCCAAAGAAUAAGCACCGGCUAACUUCGUG
RNAcentral lists this ribosomal RNA (492 nucleotides) under uncultured bacterium. RNAcentral describes it as "partial 16S ribosomal RNA". It matches the Rfam family "Bacterial small subunit ribosomal RNA", at positions 29 to 507 of the family's 1533-position model. The record is from RNAcentral.